This 348-nucleotide unclassified non-coding RNA is filed under the name soil metagenome. RNAcentral describes it as "partial contains 5.8S ribosomal RNA, internal transcribed spacer 2, and large subunit ribosomal RNA". The stretch from base 1 to 120 matches the Rfam family "5.8S ribosomal RNA", at positions 35 to 154 of the family's 154-position model. The record is from RNAcentral.
GAUGAAGAACGCAGCGAAAUGCGAUAAGUAAUGUGAAUUGCAGAAUUCAGUGAAUCAUCGAGUCUUUGAACGCACAUUGCGCCCCCUGGUAUUCCGGGGGGCAUGCCUGUCCGAGCAUCAUUGCCGCCCUCAAGCACGGCUUGUGUGUUGGGCCCCCGCCCCCCGGCUUCGGGGGGCGGGCCCGAAAGGCAGCGGCGGCACCGCGUCCGGUCCUCGAGCGUAUGGGGCUUCGUCACCCGCUCUGUAGGCCCGGCCGGCGCCCGCCGGCGACCCCAAUCAAUCUUUCCAGGUUGACCUCGGAUCAGGUAGGGAUACCCGCUGAACUUAAGCAUAUCAAUAAGCGGAGGA